This 430-nucleotide ribosomal RNA is filed under the name uncultured bacterium. RNAcentral's name for it is "bacterial SSU rRNA". It matches the Rfam family "Bacterial small subunit ribosomal RNA", at positions 355 to 776 of the family's 1533-position model. The record is from RNAcentral.
UCGAGAGGCUUCGGCAAUGGGGGAAACCCUGACCGAGCGACGCCGCGUGGAGGAUGAAGGCCUUUGGGUCGUAAACUCCUUUCGUGGGGAAAGAAUGUGUCCGGGGUAAAUAAUCCCGGGCAUUGACGGUACCCCAAGAAGAAGCCCCGGCCAACUCUGUGCCAGCAGCCGCGGUAAGACAGAGGGGGCAAGCGUUGCUCGGAAUCACUGGGCGUAAAGGGCGCGUAGGCGGGAUGGCAAGUCAGUCGUGAAAUCUCUCGGCUCAACCGAGAAACGUCGGCUGAUACUGCCGUUCUUGAGGGAUGCAGAGGAGACUGGAAUUCCCGGUGUAGCGGUGAAAUGUGUAGAGAUCGGGAGGAACACCGGUGGCGAAGGCGGGUCUCUGGGCAUUUCCUGACGCUGAGGCGCGAAAGCGUGGGGAGCAAACGGG